This 253-nucleotide ribosomal RNA is filed under the name uncultured bacterium. RNAcentral describes it as "partial 16S ribosomal RNA". It matches the Rfam family "Bacterial small subunit ribosomal RNA", at positions 524 to 776 of the family's 1533-position model. The record is from RNAcentral.
UACGUAGGGGGCUAGCGUUGUCCGGAUUUACUGGGCGUAAAGAGCGCGCAGGCGGUCGUCCAAGUCGCGUGUGAAAGCCCCCGGCUCAACUGGGGAGGGUCACGCGAUACUGAUCGACUCGAAGGCAGGAGAGGGAAGUGGAAUUCCCGGUGUAGUGGUGAAAUGCGUAGAUAUCGGGAGGAACACCAGUGGCGAAGGCGACUUCCUGGCCUGUUCUUGACGCUGAGGCGCGAAAGCUAGGGGAGCAAACGGG